AACGUAGGUGGCGAACGUUAUCCGGAUUCACUGGGCGUAAAGCGUGCGCAGGCGGCUUUUCAAGUCGGAUGUAAAAUCUCCUGGCUCAACUGGGAGGGACCAUCCGAUACUGUUGGGCUAGAGUGCAGUAGAGGAGAGUGGAAUUCCCGGUGUAAUGGUGGAAUGUGUAGAUAUCGGGAGGAACACCAGUGGCGAAAGCGGCUCUCUGGGCUGUUACUGACGCUGAUGCACGAAAGCGUGGGGAGCAAAC
This 250-nucleotide ribosomal RNA is filed under the name uncultured bacterium. RNAcentral's name for it is "partial 16S ribosomal RNA". It matches the Rfam family "Bacterial small subunit ribosomal RNA", at positions 524 to 773 of the family's 1533-position model. The record is from RNAcentral.